Molecule: ribosomal RNA, 319 nt
Filed under: uncultured eukaryote
Lineage: Eukaryota
Description: partial 18S ribosomal RNA
Rfam family: Eukaryotic small subunit ribosomal RNA
Source: RNAcentral
CCCUUAGAUGAUUUGGGCUGCACGCGCGCUACACUGACCCUAACAAUGAGCAAAUGUCUGGCCUGAGAUGGCUGGGUAGCCUUUUCAACCCAUGUCAUGAUUGGGCUAGAUUUUUGUAAGUCUUGAUCUCUAACGAGGAAUCCCUAGUAUGCGUGAAUCAUCAAUCCAUGCAGAUUAUGUCCCUGCCCUUUGUACACACCGCCCGUCGCUCCUACUGAUUGGGUGAUCCGGUGAGCUGUUCGGCCAUAGCAAUGUUUCUUGAGCAGGGCAAUGAAUGUUUCGCAAACCUUGCCACUUAGAGGAAGGAGAAGUCGUAACA